AGGCAAUGCGUCACCCUGCUUCGGCUCGCGCACGGUGCGUGCACCCACUGACCUGCGACCACUGUCUGGCACUCCCUAGUGAGAUGAACCCUGUACCUCAGAUGGAAAUGCAGAAAUCACCCGUCUUCUGCGUCGCUCAUGCUGGGAGCUGUAGACUGGAGCUGUUCCUAUUCGGCCAUCUUGGCUCUUCCCCCGUUUUACAAUUUAAAGCACCAGGUAAAGACCUUCACAAUCGGGAACCCGUAGAUUGGAUCUUCUGAAAACAUCAGAGAAAGACUAUCUUUGCCAUCCACACUACAGUAAAACUUUGGAGCCUUGAACCUUGGAUUUAUAAUCUCACAACUGAGAAGGGUCCCUCCAUACUCCUGGAACUGUACACCCAUUGGAACUCUUAAGGUAAAACUAACCAGGAAAGUUUCUCCCCAGAAAAAGAUGGCAUCCUUGAUGUGAACAGCUUUUCCCAAGAUCACAGGUCAAAACUUCUACUAUCAUGAGACUCUUACCUUUGAAUAUUUUUACCUUGUUUAUGCCUCUAUGAGCAACAGAAAUGAAAAGUGGGUCUAUAAUGUGCACUUAUAGGGUAUAAUUUUAUUUGUGAAGGAUUUUGCGGGAAGCCAGCCUUAUACAUAAAUAAACUUAUACUUUAAUAGAUAAAAGAUGAAGGCCCAAGGUGGGUGAGAAACUUUAGUGGUACAUAUGUUGACUCAUAAUCAGUCAAAACUCCUCUUAACCCACAUCAUGGAUUAAAGAGAACAUUGCCAGGAGGCCUUCACUCUUCUAGAAGGACAUAAUUUGUUAGGUCCUUUUUCCAUGGUUUAGAAUACAAGAGGCAAUAAUUAGAAAUGUCUCCCUCUUAAUAGGCAUGGGUUCAAAUAAGGCAAACGUGGAGCUGUAGCCAAUCUCGCUGUUUGUGUACCUCACUUCUGAUUCCUGUGUGUCACUUUAACAUUUUUGUCUAUACAUUUUUUCUGACCAGGAGACACCCCUGGAGUCUGUGAAUCUGCUGUGAUUCUGGGGGCUGCCCGAAUCAUGAAUCAUUCAUUGCUCAAUUAAACUCCUUUAAGUUU
Molecule: long non-coding RNA, 1067 nt
Filed under: Homo sapiens (human)
Lineage: Eukaryota; Metazoa; Chordata; Mammalia; Primates; Hominidae
Description: non-protein coding LINC02456:7
Source: RNAcentral